Molecule: ribosomal RNA, 830 nt
Filed under: Natrialba magadii
Lineage: Archaea; Methanobacteriati; Methanobacteriota; Halobacteria; Halobacteriales; Natrialbaceae
Description: bacterial SSU rRNA
Rfam family: Archaeal small subunit ribosomal RNA
Source: RNAcentral
CAUGCUAGUUGUACGAGUUUAGACUCGUAGCAGAUAGCUCAGUAACACGUGGCCAAACUACCCUAUGGAUCCAGACAACCUCGGGAAACUGAGGCUAAUCUGGAAUACGACUCUCAUCCUGGAGUGGAGAGAGUCCGAAAUGCUCCGGCGCCAUAGGAUGUGGCUGCGGCCGAUUAGGUAGACGGUGGGGUAACGGCCCACCGUGCCAGUAAUCGGUACGGGUUGUGAGAGCAAGAGCCCGGAGACGGUAUCUGAGACAAGAUACCGGGCCCUACGGGGCGCAGCAGGCGCGAAACCUUUACACUGCACGCCAGUGCGAUAAGGGGACUCCAAGUGCGAGGGCAUAUAGUCCUCGCUUUUUGCGACCGUAAGGUGGUCGCGGAAUAAGUGCUGGGCAAGACCGGUGCCAGCCGCCGCGGUAAUACCGGCAGCACGAGUGAUGACCGCUGUUAUUGGGCCUAAAGCGUCCGUAGCUGGCCGCGCAAGUCUAUCGGGAAAUCUCUCCGCUUAACGGAGAGGCGUCCGGUGGAAACUGUGUGGCUUGGGACCGGAAGACCAGAGGGGUACGUCUGGGGUAGGAGUGAAAUCCCGUAAUCCUGGACGGACCACCGGUGGCGAAAGCGCCUCUGGAAGACGGAUCCGACGGUGAGGGACGAAAGCUCGGGUCACGAACCGGAUUAGAUACCCGGGUAGUCCGAGCUGUAAACGAUGUCUGCUAGGUGUGACACAGGCUACGAGCCUGUGUUGUGCCGUAGGGAAGCCGUGAAGCAGACCGCCUGGGAAGUACGUCCGCAAGGAUGAAACUUAAGGAAUUGGCGGGGGAGCACUAC